This 241-nucleotide ribosomal RNA is filed under the name uncultured bacterium. RNAcentral describes it as "partial 16S ribosomal RNA". It matches the Rfam family "Bacterial small subunit ribosomal RNA", at positions 536 to 776 of the family's 1533-position model. The record is from RNAcentral.
AAGCGUUAUCCGGAAUUACUGGGCGUAAAGCGUGCGUAGGUGGAUAGCUAAGUGAGACAUUAAAUCCCGUGGCUCAACCAUGAGGCUGUGUUGCAUACUGAUUAUCUAGAGGACAUGAGAGGCAAGUGGAAUUCCUGGUGUAGCGGUGAAAUGCGCAGAUAUCAGGAAGAACACCAAUGGCGAAAGCGCCUGUCUGGCCCAAUACUGACGCUGAUGCGCGAAAGCUAGGGGAGCAAACGGG